Molecule: long non-coding RNA, 341 nt
Organism: Cottoperca gobio
Lineage: Eukaryota; Metazoa; Chordata; Actinopteri; Perciformes; Bovichtidae
Exons: 2
Source: RefSeq, a predicted model, not a curated record
UUCCCUUUUCGCUGAGACAAGCUAGCGGGAGCAGCUACGAUGGGGCGCUAGUCAUGCUGCAGUUUGGAGGAGCAUCUCCGCAACCAGCAGGGUCGGCAGCCAUACCUCCUCGCUGUUGGGCGUCAGAAGAGCAAGAUUGACAGCUUCUACAUCACCAUGGAUAAGCAUCUCAUCCCACGGCAGGCAAACCGCUCCCUACCUUGGGGCUUUCGACAAACUUUCCAAAACCUAUUUUGUGUUUAAUUUGUCGUACGAUGCUGCGUUACUGAAUUUUUACACAUUCUUGCAGACAACAGUGUAUAACAUUGAUGUGGGGAAAAUAAAGGAGUCACACUGCUUGA